AGAUGAGAUGGGAUUACUAACUCUAUGAAGCAAAGGCACAGAGGUGCUAGAAGAGGAUUGUAAUGAUGGAUCUUUCUGCCAGCCGCCUGAGUUCCACCCGCUACAACGUUAAAGUCCCAAGUAACACAGAGAGACUUACAUUAGGACACUGGCGGAAUGCAUCCUGUCUUCCUGGCGAUCACAUGACGACUCCACAGAGAAGAGAGGAGAAGGAAGAGAAAGAGCGUGAUUUCCUGCUUGUCCCUGUUUAUAUUCUGAGUCUGCCUACUAUGUCACUUCCUGCCUGGAUCACAAGACUUCUCUUUACUACAUUUCCCAAAAUCCUCCUUGACUCCUAG
RNAcentral lists this long non-coding RNA (338 nucleotides) under Cricetulus griseus (Chinese hamster). RNAcentral's name for it is "lncRNA (ENSCGRG00000025688.1)". The record is from RNAcentral. Lineage: Eukaryota; Metazoa; Chordata; Mammalia; Rodentia; Cricetidae.